RNAcentral lists this unclassified non-coding RNA (281 nucleotides) under Hevea brasiliensis (rubber tree). Lineage: Eukaryota; Viridiplantae; Streptophyta; Magnoliopsida; Malpighiales; Euphorbiaceae. The record is from RNAcentral.
UGGGACACCCUGACUACCUUGUAUACUUGGGUGAUGAGAUGAGUCAAAGGAUGAACCAACAUUCUGUAAACCCCAGUUCUGCGGUUUUGGCUGCUGAUGGAGAUCGUUGAAAAUAUCAUAAUUAGAAGGGAAACCUCUAGAUCCUUUGAUAUCAGAAUUCACCUCUUCCUGAAGCAUCCCUCGGUUAGUCAAAGUGGACAUCCCUGCACUAUUACUCCCAAGAGAAAAGUUGUAGUUUUGCAAAUCCUUGCUUUGAUUAACUGAGAAAUCUACCAUCGAAG